AUGGAGUCGUCGCAGUCGCGGCAGAAGAGCGCCCUGUCGUCCACGCAGAAGACGAAGGCCGGCUUGUCCUGGCAGACGUCGCAGCGCGGGAGGCCGGCGGCGGCGGCGGCGUCCUCGAGCGGGAGGCGCUGGUGCUUGCUGGCCAGCUUGUUGGCGGCGUGGAUCUGCACGUCGCAGCGCGCGCACAGCGCCGCCUCGUCCGCGCAGCACACCACCGUCGCCGCCGCGCCCUCGCACGCGUCGCACUGGAUCCUCAUGGCUUCUUCUACGCUCUGGUCGCUCGCUCUACAGCUCAGCUCAGCUCAGGCUUCACGUGCGCCGAUUAGCUGCUGGUUGGGAAAAUGA
This 345-nucleotide ribosomal RNA is filed under the name Triticum aestivum (bread wheat). Its description in RNAcentral is "partial small subunit ribosomal RNA". Lineage: Eukaryota; Viridiplantae; Streptophyta; Magnoliopsida; Poales; Poaceae. The record is from RNAcentral.